ACCUGAAAAUAGCUCCCCUCAGGUAAAUGUAUCUGAAAAUAGAGCCCCUCAGGUAAACAUACCUGAAAAUAGAGCCCCUCAGGUAAACAUACCUGAAAAUAGAGCCCCUCAGGUAAACAUACCUGAAAAUAGAGCCCCUCAGGUAAACAUACCUGAAAAUAGAGCCCCUCAGGUAAACAUACCUGAAAAUAGAGCCCCUCAGGUAAACAUACCUGAAAAUAGAGCCCCUCAGGUAAACAUACCUGAAAAUAGAGCCCCUCAGGUAAAUGUAUCUGAAAAUAGAGCCCCUCAGGUAAACAUACCUGAAAAUAGAGCCCCUCAGGUAAAUGUAUCUGAAAAUAGUGCCACUCAGGUAAAUGUAUCUGAAAAUAGAGCCCCUCAGGUAAACAUACCUAAAAAUAGA
Long non-coding RNA from Astyanax mexicanus (Mexican tetra), 403 nucleotides. RefSeq lists it as uncharacterized. The record is from RefSeq and is a predicted model, not a curated record. The transcript has 4 exons. NCBI's taxonomy places the organism in Eukaryota, Metazoa, Chordata, Actinopteri, Characiformes, Acestrorhamphidae.